GUGGGUAUAGCUCAUUCGGUUAGAGCGCCGCUCUGUGGAAGCGGAGGUGGGCGGUUCGAUUCCGCUUACCCACCCCA
This 77-nucleotide transfer RNA is filed under the name Candidatus Beckwithbacteria bacterium. Its description in RNAcentral is "tRNA-His". It matches the Rfam family "tRNA". From Rfam's summary of the family: Transfer RNA (tRNA) molecules are approximately 80 nucleotides in length. Their secondary structure includes four short double-helical elements and three loops (D, anti-codon, and T loops). Further hydrogen bonds mediate the characteristic L-shaped molecular structure. tRNAs have two regions of fundamental functional importance: the anti-codon, which is responsible for specific mRNA codon recognition, and the 3' end, to which the tRNAs corresponding amino acid is attached (by aminoacyl-tRNA synthetases). tRNAs cope with the degeneracy of the genetic code in two manners: having more than one tRNA (with a specific anti-codon) for a particular amino acid; and 'wobble' base-pairing, i.e. permitting non-standard base-pairing at the 3rd anti-codon position. Lineage: Bacteria; Candidatus Beckwithiibacteriota. The record is from RNAcentral.